CUGCCCUCAAGCACGGCUUGUGUGUUGGGCCCCGUCCCCUCCCCCGGGGACGGGCCCGAAAGGCAGCGGCGGCACCGCGUCCGAUCCUCGAGCGUAUGGGGCUUUGUCACCCGCUCUGUAGGCCCGGCCGGCGCCAGCCGACACCCAACUUUUAUUUCUAA
This 161-nucleotide unclassified non-coding RNA is filed under the name uncultured Aspergillus. RNAcentral describes it as "sequence contains ITS2". The record is from RNAcentral. Lineage: Eukaryota; Fungi; Ascomycota; Eurotiomycetes; Eurotiales; Aspergillaceae.